AACGAACGCUGGCGGCAUGCCUAACACAUGCAGGUCGAACGAGACCUUCGUGUCUAGUGGCGCACGGGUGCGUAACGCGUGGGAACCUGCCCUUAGGUUCGGAAUACCUCCCCGAAAGGGGUGCUAAUACCGGAUAAUUUCUUCGGACCAAAGAUUUAUCGUCUUUGGAUGGGCCCGCGUUGGAUUAGCUUGUUGGUAGGGUAAAAGCCUACCAAGGCGACGAUCCAUAGCUGGUCUGAGAGGAUGAGCAGCCACACUGGGACUGAGACACGGCCCAGAAUCCUACGGGAAGGAGGAGUGGGGAAUAUAGGAAAAUGGGCGAAGGGCUGAUGCAGCAAGGCCGCGUGAGUGAUGAAGGCCGGAGGGUAGUAAAGCUCUUUUACCCGGGAUGAUAAUGACAGUACCGGGAGAAUAAGCACCGGCUAACUCCGUG
RNAcentral lists this ribosomal RNA (433 nucleotides) under uncultured bacterium. RNAcentral's name for it is "partial 16S ribosomal RNA". It matches the Rfam family "Bacterial small subunit ribosomal RNA", at positions 29 to 507 of the family's 1533-position model. The record is from RNAcentral.